Molecule: long non-coding RNA, 602 nt
Organism: Passer domesticus (house sparrow)
Lineage: Eukaryota; Metazoa; Chordata; Aves; Passeriformes; Passeridae
Exons: 3
Source: RefSeq, a predicted model, not a curated record
CGCUGUGUUGACACGCUCUGCACCUUGCUCCUGCCCUCGCCUUUCACUCUUCUUAUCCCCCCGAUACCCCGAUCAUUCCUGACAGCUCCUGAGUGCCUGGAUUUCAUCAUCCAGCCCUGCAGGAUGCUCCCCUUUGUUCUGAGGAAGACUGUCCCAGACAGAGAGGAGGAGAUGGAGGUAGAUACAAAGAUUGAUAUGGAGGAGGAGAUGGAGGUGGAUGCAAAGAUUGAUAUGGAGGAGGAGAUGGAAAUAGACGGAGAAGACCCUGGAGAGGAAGAGAUGGAUGUGGAUGUGGAGGAGGAAGAAGAGAUGGAUGUGGAUAUGGAAGAGUCCAUUGAGGACAUGGAUAUUGAUUAAAAAGGUGCGAUGGACAUCACAGACAGAGACACCACCCUUUUGUAUAUAUGUUCUACACUUUGUUGUUGUUCUUUAGAAUAUAGAUUGUAGGGCUAUUUUUGACUUCUGUAAAUACGUUUCCCAUAGUGUUGCUAGGUAGGUUUUUAUGUAUAUAUGUUCUAUCGAUUGUUGUUGUUACAAAUGUUCUUACAAUGUAAAUAUGUUCUGUAUUUUUGCUGCUGUUUUUCUGUAAUAAACAAAUUUUA